RNAcentral lists this ribosomal RNA (476 nucleotides) under uncultured organism. RNAcentral describes it as "partial 16S ribosomal RNA". It matches the Rfam family "Bacterial small subunit ribosomal RNA", at positions 333 to 800 of the family's 1533-position model. The record is from RNAcentral.
ACACUCCUACGGGAGGCAGCAGUGGGGAAUAUUGCACAAUGCGCGCAAGCCUGAUGCAGCCAUGCCGCGUGUAUGAAGAAGGCCUUCGGGUUGUAAAGUACUUUCAGCGGGGAGGAAGGCGAUAAGGUUAAUAACCUUGUCGAUUGACGUUACCCGCAGAAGAAGCACCGGCUAACUCCGUGCCAGCAGCCGCGGUAAUACGGAGGGUGCAAGCGUUAAUCGGAAUUACUGGGCGUAAAGCGCACGCAGGCGGUCUGUCAAGUCGGAUGUGAAAUCCCCGGGCUCAACCUGGGAACUGCAUUCGAAACUGGCAGGCUAGAGUCUUGUAGAGGGGGGUAGAAUUCCAGGUGUAGCGGUGAAAUGCGUAGAGAUCUGGAGGAAUACCGGUGGCGAAGGCGGCCCCCUGGACAAAGACUGACGCUCAGGUGCGAAAGCGUGGGGAGCAAACAGGAUUAGAAACCCCGGUAGUCCCAUGA